RNAcentral lists this transfer RNA (71 nucleotides) under Candidatus Omnitrophota bacterium. RNAcentral's name for it is "tRNA-Gln". It matches the Rfam family "tRNA". Rfam says of the family: Transfer RNA (tRNA) molecules are approximately 80 nucleotides in length. Their secondary structure includes four short double-helical elements and three loops (D, anti-codon, and T loops). Further hydrogen bonds mediate the characteristic L-shaped molecular structure. tRNAs have two regions of fundamental functional importance: the anti-codon, which is responsible for specific mRNA codon recognition, and the 3' end, to which the tRNAs corresponding amino acid is attached (by aminoacyl-tRNA synthetases). tRNAs cope with the degeneracy of the genetic code in two manners: having more than one tRNA (with a specific anti-codon) for a particular amino acid; and 'wobble' base-pairing, i.e. permitting non-standard base-pairing at the 3rd anti-codon position. Lineage: Bacteria; Pseudomonadati; Candidatus Omnitrophota. The record is from RNAcentral.
UCCCGAUUCGUCUAACGGCAAGACGGCUGUUUCUGAGGCAGUCUAUCGAGGUUCGAAUCCUUGAUCGGGAA